AGUGAACGCUGGCGGUAGGCCUAACACAUGCAAGUCGAACGGCAGCACAGUAAGAGCUUGCUCUUACGGGUGGCGAGUGGCGGACGGGUGAGGAAUACAUCGGAAUCUACUUUUUCGUGGGGGAUAACGGAGGGAAACUUACGCUAAUACCGCAUACGACCUACGGGUGAAAGCAGGGGAUCUUCGGACCUUGCGCGAUUGAAUGAGCCGAUGUCGGAUUAGCUAGUUGGCGGGGUAAAGGCACACCAAGGCGACGAUCCGUAGCUGGUCUGAGAGGAUGAUCAGCCACACUGGAACUGAGACACGGUCCAGACUCCUACGGGAGGCAGCAGUGGGGAAUAUUGGACAAUGGGCGCAAGCCUGAUCCAGCCAUACCGCGUGGGUGAAGAAGGCCUUCGGGUUGUAAAGCCCUUUUGUUGGGAAAGAAAAGCAGCAGGUUAAUCCCCCGCUGUUCUGACGGUACCCAAAGAAUAAGCACCGGCUAACUUCGUG
RNAcentral lists this ribosomal RNA (492 nucleotides) under uncultured bacterium. RNAcentral describes it as "partial 16S ribosomal RNA". It matches the Rfam family "Bacterial small subunit ribosomal RNA", at positions 29 to 507 of the family's 1533-position model. The record is from RNAcentral.